This 497-nucleotide ribosomal RNA is filed under the name uncultured bacterium. Its description in RNAcentral is "partial 16S ribosomal RNA". It matches the Rfam family "Bacterial small subunit ribosomal RNA", at positions 28 to 507 of the family's 1533-position model. The record is from RNAcentral.
GAUGAACGCUGGCGGCAUGCCUAAUACAUGCAAGUCGAGCGAACGGACGAGAAGCUUGCUUCUCUGAUGUUAGCGGCGGACGGGUGAGUAACACGUGGAUAACCUACCUAUAAGACUGGGAUAACUUCGGGAAACCGGAGCUAAUACCGGAUAAUAUUUUGAACCGCAUGGUUCAAAAGUGAAAGACGGUCUUGCUGUCACUUAUAGAUGGAUCCGCGCUGCAUUAGCUAGUUGGUAAGGUAACGGCUUACCAAGGCAACGAUGCAUAGCCGACCUGAGAGGGUGAUCGGCCACACUGGAACUGAGACACGGUCCAGACUCCUACGGGAGGCAGCAGUAGGGAAUCUUCCGCAAUGGGCGAAAGCCUGACGGAGCAACGCCGCGUGAGUGAUGAAGGUCUUCGGAUCGUAAAACUCUGUUAUUAGGGAAGAACAUAUGUGUAAGUAACUGUGCACGUCUUGACGGUACCUAAUCAGAAAGCCACGGCUAACUACGUG